UUUUUUUUUUUUUUUUUUUUUUUUUAAAGCAAGAAAUCAAAAAUAAGAGAAAAUACACUGCAAAUUCAAAUACUUCUGCACCAAAUCACACAUCUUGUUGCCCCUUGUAGAGAGCACAUUAUCAGAGCACUCACACUGAACUACCAAAUCAAUCCUCAAAGCUUCCCAAGGGAAGGAAAACCCAGCUAACACCCGACAGCAAAAGAGUUUGCACCAAGAAACCAGACCCAUCCAGCCCCUACCAACGCUCUUUUCGAAGACAUAAAGAUUUCCAGGUGCUUGACAUCCAUGUUAACUUUUUAAGUAAUAAAACUUGAGGAGAGCAUUCCCAUUGGAUCAGAGGGGAGACUUUGCUACAACAAUAGCUGUGCUGGCAAACUGAUUCCUUUCAACACAUUCUUGAGUUUGUAUUUUAAGUGGUUUUGCCACAUUGGCAGCCAAAAAUAACAAUUUUCUGAUCAAAUUCACUGGUUCUUGUAAAAUGUUUUAACACGCUAACUAUGACCGUGAGCAGUUCUAAUAGUCUUUCAAGCUGCCUGUUCAGACCUCUUACUUUUGAAAGAGUGAAGGGCUCCACAAAAGGCUCCAGCAGAGUGAUGCCAUCCAUGGCUGCUGCUCCUGCAGCAUUCCCACCCCUCAUUACCCAGGGAUACAGCCCAUAUUUAAUGUGAUGCUAUUUGCUGCUUUGUAUUUCAUACCUACCCUUAAUGUAAAGUAAUAAUUAAGAACAGCCUUCCCCUGUGCCUGGUAGUGCAAGGCCAAAAUCCACAACAGCUACCACAGCUGAAAUGUCAGGGAAAAAGGAACAAAAGCAAAUGGACAGGCAGGAAUUACCCUACAGUCUCUACUUGCACCAGUCUUGCUCUUUGAUGAUGAUGAACAGCAAGAAAUCCUAAUGUGGUUCUUAGAGGAGAAAUAAAUCACUUAGAAACUGUAUUUCUGGUUGAAAAAAGCCUCCUCCAGCUGCAAAAAUCAGAAUUUUCAUUAAGUCACUUUGUAAGUAAUUAAUGGCAGUUUAAGACUUACCAAGUAACUAAGAAAUGAGAGGCUGGUUUGAACGGGAACAUGGGGCAUUUCCACCCCAAACGAGGCUCCACUUAGCCAGCCACCAUGAGCCCAGUUCACAGCACUGCUCCCACUGGGAAACCUCCAUGGCCACCUCCAGAGCAGGGGACAGAGCUGAGACAAGCCCUGGAUUUCUGGAUGAACCAAAGGCUUAUAGGCAGAAGGAAAACACAAAAUACAGAACCCACUCCAAAUGGCAAAGCUGCAACUUUUGGACCACUUUUGGUGGGAGGUCAGCGAGGUCACCUGAGCAGGUGGAUCUCAGUUACUGUGGACCAACAUGGUGGUCUUGGAUAACAGACCUUAAUUCAUUAAUUAAUUAUCAUUAGGCUCUUGGAAUCACUAGAGGGAGAAGUGAGCACAUGCCUUAAAUCAGGAUGUUACAUCUGGAUGGGAAAAAACACCCAGCAGACGAUGGCAUGAAGCAUUUAAGUAUUAACUAUAAUAUCUACACCACAUGCAGCUUCUCAAGAUGUUUUGCUGUCAUCAGCUUAGUAAAAGAUAAAGAUUUAUUGGGCUAUUACUGAAAAGGAAGCUAGAUACUGCCAAAUGGCACGGACAGUUAGAUGACUACUUGCUGACAUCUUUAUUCAUAUAUAAAACAACACAACUGACUUGUGUUUUUUUUUAACUACCAUGCUUGAAGGAAUCAACAAAGAAGUGCCUUAUCACACAGCACUUUAAAGUCAUUUUUUUAACCAUUCAUGGGGUUUGGAUGGUUGUUUUUAUUGUAUGCAUACAGAAUAUUCUAAGAGCACCCCGUGAACUUCUAGUGCUGACUACAAGAAGAGAUAAGCAGUGCUGGCUGCAGAUUGGGGUGAUGAUUUCUGAAGGUGCUGAGGGACAAUCCCAUGGAACAGUACUCCCUGGACACAGCCACAAGGUCACUCUGGUCCCACAGAUCUCAGAUAUCAGAAAAAAAAUCUUUACUGUGAGGGUGAUGAGCCACUGGUAAAGGGUGCCCAGAGAAGUUGUGGCUGCCCCAUAUUUAGCUGGAAAUAAAUGAUCUUUAAAGGUCCCUUCCAACCCAAACCAUUCCAUGAUUUAUGCACAUUUCAAGGGUUGCAGAGGCAUAGCUUUUUAAAGGUUUAAAUCACAGAUCAAUGCUAAAUCUGCAGAGGUUGAGAAUAUUCUGAUUUAAUAUUCCAUGUCUAGUUUUUGUUCAGCUUUUAACAGCAAUCUGAGAGGUUAAAAUCAACAUGAUAUGUUGAUAUUAUAGGAUAACAUCAACAGCUUCUUAGAGCAGUAGGAAUAUGGCUUCUAAAAAAGAAAUUACUGGAUAAGUUGCAAGGAUUAUAGAAUUAUUUUUAGAACAUAUGUCAAAAAGAUGACAAACCAAAUGAAUUUAAUUAUUCUGUUCCUUGUUGAAAACUGCAGCAAGAGUGAAGUAAAUCAGGCAAGACAGAACCCUGCAGUAUUACACAACUCCAUUCUAAAUGUUUGCCCUGAAAUUUCAAAAGGAAUCUAAGCCUGCUCUUCCAGAAAGCAGCAAGCCAGAGCUGUCCACUUUUCCUCUGACAGCUUGAUCUACUGUUCCCCCUUUGUUACACAUUUUGAAUUCAAUUCAGCCUACUACUUCCAAUUAACCAGCAUACUCUUACUGCAUUAUUUGGCACUAAGCAGGCACACAGGUUCCUUCAGCUCCUGCCAAUGUGAGAAGACAAUACCCUGAAGGUGAACCAGGCAAUUUGUUGGCAGAACUGGGCUCUGGGCAGUGCCCAAGCAGGCUGAUGGGAGGCUGCAGGUGUGUGGUUUCAAAUGCCUUCAAAGUGCUCUGUGCCCAAGUCUUCUCAAAACUUCACAACCAUCCUCCUCCAGCAAGAUUCAUGCUGUAUUUUGAAUAUUUCUAAUACUCUGGAGUGCCAGAAAGCUCCAUUUGUCAGGCUCAGUCACUGGCCAGCCUGCCCUGGUCAGGGAUCAUACACAAACCCACUUGGGCACAGGCCAUUAUUUAUGCUGUACAAACUACCAAAGCAGGUGUGAUUUCAGCCUGUUUGCUCUGAAUGUGAAUUAGUUCAGUAGAAUAAAGUCUCAUCCACAAUGUAAGCCUGUUGCUUCAAAACUAGCAAUAAGGGAAAAACAAGAUCAAGUUUUAAUGACAUGUUUAUAUAUAUAAAAAAAUCAUUCUUUUACUACAACAUGUCUACAACAAAAAGUACAGUACAAAUCCGAGAUACACCCCACACAUUUCUUGAAGAGGGAUUACAAAUUCACAGAGACAUAACAUUGCUAUGCAAGUGCUUAUUAAGAGCAAUAGAAAGAACAGAACGAACAAUUUAUGCUCUACAAGGCUGAGAUUUGGUGUUUACUGCUGGAAAUUGCUUUACACAGUGUCAGAAUUUAAAGCUGUGACCUUACAAAAGAAUUACUGGGCACAGUUGCAGCCCAUGCAUGGAGCUGCUCAGUCAGCCACAGGUCAACCUGAAGGAAAAGUCCUUUGAAAACUGGUGGCUGAGAAGGUUACUAGCCUAAAUAUAAAAAUAUUAACACAAGAAUGGGAGGAUAGAAGUUUCUUGGUCCAUCAGCACUCUGAAAGAUUGUUCCUAAGCUUUACUUUGCUCUGAUAAGAAGAUAAAUUCUAACAGAGUCACUGUUUGAUCUGCACAGUGAAGCCACGAUGGCUCCCAAAUGUGUCUUUGCCUCUUCUGGGAAGGACAUGAAGGUUUUAUUUCCAUGUUUGUCCCGUUGGCAACUCCUGACACUAUGCUGGUUAUUACUUACACAAACAGAAACCUGCAGCCAAUCAAAAUAAUAUGGUUGGCAAGGAAUCUGGGCAAACUUUAAUAGCUAUGGUUCUUCAACAUAAAAAGGAUAAAAGUAGAAUAAUAAUUUUUGGCAGGGGAAGCGGGGAAUUUUUAAAAUUCUGAUUGUUUUCCUAUGAGGAUAGUGUUAGUGAAGUCUAACUUAAAACAUGUUGUCCUGGCUUCAUGAAAUCACAGCGAGUGAGGUUCUGCUGGGCCCACUGAGUUACACUCAGCUCCUUCCCACUCCAGCUGAAGUUAUCUGGAGCACACAAGGUAAGAGAGGGGGAUUUGGCAUGGGAGCUGCAUGGCUGAAAUAAUUCCGGUGUCUUUCUGAAAGGAGCUAUCUGCACGUGCAAGUGUGCUACAGAGGAAUACACAGAGCUCUCCCUUCAAGAAAGUGUCAUUAACUUCAGCCUCCUGGGAGCCAGCAAAGACCUUCACCAAGAGGAAGAUGGACAUCAAUUUAAGUAUAAACCCCAUUUUCACUGAAUCAAUUUAACUAUAAACCCCAUUUUCACUGAAUCAAUUUAACUAUAAAUCUCAUUUUCACUGAAUUUUUCACUUUCAUUUUCAACAAGCCCCAGUGCUGUGCUCAGCACUACAUCAGCCUGACACUCUUGCACUGGAAUCUGAUGAAGCAAAUAAGCAGAGUUGUGCUAAUUUAGUAGCAACUACACUCACUUGCCACCAAAUUAAUCUCUGGGAAAGCUGAUUUAGUCAGUUUUCCAUUAAAAAAUUCCAUCCUGUCUAAUAAAGAUUACUUUGUAGGCAAAGAAUCAGGUAAAUGUGUUGAACUGUAGUAAGGAGCAGAAUAACAAUAAUAACAAUAAUAUCAGAAAAAAAAGUAAACUUCUUAAUUAGUUGUUAAUAAAGUUGUGGCUUUUCUAGGUAGCAAAAUUUUGUAAACAUUUUCUCUACCUUAUGAAAAAAGUAAGAACCAAGAUCGGACAUUCCAACUACCCCAAUCAAAAUUCCUCUUUUAAGAUUUAUGAAAUCUUUAAUUCUGAUUUUUACCUGUAUAUGACUGCAUUUUGUUUUGGAACAAAAAGUCAUGCAGAGCCACAAACCAGAAUGGUCUGUUUGAUGGUACUGAAGUGAACUUCUUUUCCCAAGGUAAUAACAUAAAGCCAAGAAGCAUUUUGAAUAAAAAAGCCUGUUGCAUAUGGAGUGGUUUGUAUGAAUUGGCAUUUUUUGAUUUUAAAAAAAGUUUGCUGAAAUAUUCCCCAAAAGCAGAUCUACUUGGGCCCUUAAUUCAUUGGCAUAGGCUCAGUAUCAGUCACUUAAAAUAUGUGUUUUAUCAUGUACCUAAAAUCGUGACAUCCUUUAAAAACACGUCAUACAAAAAUCUUUUAUUUCCUUAUACUACAUAUUUACAAUUCUAUCAUCAAGGUACUGUAGAAAAUGUAAACAAGUAUACAUGGGUGUAAAUAAUAUGGCUUGAGAAAGGUUUCCCCUUGGAUUAGCUGCUCAAAUCACACAUUAAUCUACAAAAAUAAGAGAAAAA
Molecule: long non-coding RNA, 5313 nt
Filed under: Taeniopygia guttata (zebra finch)
Lineage: Eukaryota; Metazoa; Chordata; Aves; Passeriformes; Estrildidae
Description: lncRNA (ENSTGUG00000028131.1)
Source: RNAcentral